UGAGUGGGGGGGGGGGGGCAUUUAUUCAGACUUUAGCCAAAUUUUCCAUAACCUCAAUGAUGAGAGGUACUUAAUGAGAGUACCAGCUUUUCUGCAAUUUAUCUUUAACUAUGUAUCGUUAUUUAUCAUUUUGAACAUUUUUCUUUAAUGCAUAUUUAAUGAGCGAGCGUAGGAGACAGCGGAAAAAGGAAAUAAAAAUUAUAGAGAAAUACAUUUUGAGAGAUAGAGUGCGUGUGUGUUUGAGAGAGAUAGAGAGGUAAAACUAGGAAGAGAUAGAAAAAAAGAGAGAAAAAGAAAGGAAAUACAGAGAAAGAGAAGAAAAAUAGAAUGGAAAAGUGGGGAAGGAGAGUGAAAGAGAUCGUGCUAGCUGAAGAUGCGAAUGUGGAACACAUUUUAAUCGAUGAUGCUAAAACCUGCUACAAAACGAUGACUGUUCGCGUGGUCCAGUAAGUCGAUACUGCUGCCAAUGAGAAAGUUACAUCAAAAGUCGAAGGUGACAAUAAACGUAACUGUACACAGAUACUACAUCAACAACCGAGCAUGCGCGCUGCAAACAAACCGGGAGCCUGAAAAGGAUAGGACCAUCCACAGCACUAUAAUACGUUCGGUAGCAUAGUCACGUCACGUGAAUGACAUCGAGAGGUCUGGCCUGUAUUCAGACGGUUCAACAGAACAAAGGAAGCGUGGAAUGACAAAUAUUCCACGACGAGUGCAUACGGCGGCCGAACGGAUGGAAGAAACUAUCCUUUAUGAAAGUAGGAAUGCACAAAUAUUGUGUGACAUUUUGAUCUGAAGCGCUGAUGACAUUAUUCACCAGACGAUUAAGGUUAGCUCGAACUCGCGUGCACUGAUAGUUGAAGAAUGGCGAGCAAUUCUUGUGUACGUAUUCGACCUAGUUAACGAAAACACCAAGUGAUACUACGCUAAUUUACGAUGCUGAAACAGUUCGUUGAUUGCUCGGAUGCGGAACUCUGCCACGGUCCAUCAUCGAUAAGUCAAUCCAGAUCCUGGCAUACGCUGAUGAUAAACACAGCAUCGGUUUGAGGCAUUUCGGUGUAACAGAAGCUUAUCAAAGUAGCAGCAUCAAGUGGCACUAAACCUCGGAUUGGAGAAUCACGAGGGCGUAAGGGUGCUGGCUACCCAAACGGUCGUACUACAGCCUGUCGACAACUUUUUCACUCAAAAUACCUACCGUGACGGCAUUCACGCCAUGUCCUGGACAUUUGUUGCCGUUGCGGUUGUUGAUGCAUCGACAAGUAAGGUCAAAUCCUACAUUGGCAAACAACAGCGCUAGACCGAGAGUGGCAUCGCCAAUUUCUGCAGCAGGCGUAGACCUCAAUCAAAGCAGUUGUAGCUUCCGAUUGGUAAGAAAGUAAGUACGUUGCGUUAGGAAGUGGCAGUUGGCGAAUGGAUGACAGAGAUUGAAUCUAAUAUGGUCCGAAACGUGUCUCUCUGCUCUCUUCCACGAUACACAUUGAACAGGACACAUCAGAUGUAUGUUAUUACAACAUUUAAUUUAAUUCUUACUCAACUAUACAGUUAUGGGGUAAACAUUGAACUAAUCCAUCAUACAUGGUAUGGUAUAUGGACCAAUUUUAGGCUAACUUCAAAAGCAGUAUCCAAUACGCUUUCGUAGCUAUAGUAGACAGUAAAGUAAUCUUGACGUAGAAUGAAGCAUUUUUUACGUAGGCACAUGUGAUAGCAAAAUUUAGAUUUGUAUAAAAACAAUAUUUACGUAGACUUUAAAGUAGAUAGAAUAACCCAGGUAACAAAACCGUCAUGCUUUCUCGCUCUAUCUACGUAACAAGUAAAACUACCAAAGCGAGAAAGGAUGAUGAUUUUGUUACGUGAGAAGUUUGUUAUUUUUAAAAUGAAACAUGUCACUGCGAAAAGUUGCAUUUUUAAUAUUUCACCUUAUAUGAUAAAUAAAAACCAACAAAAAUCGUACCUUUCCAGGUCUUCCCUUCUUUA
Anopheles stephensi (Asian malaria mosquito) is the source of this 1971-nucleotide long non-coding RNA. RefSeq lists it as uncharacterized. NCBI's taxonomy places the organism in Eukaryota, Metazoa, Arthropoda, Insecta, Diptera, Culicidae. The record is from RefSeq and is a predicted model, not a curated record. The transcript has 3 exons.